Molecule: unclassified non-coding RNA, 263 nt
Filed under: uncultured fungus
Lineage: Eukaryota; Fungi
Description: partial contains 5.8S ribosomal RNA, internal transcribed spacer 2, and large subunit ribosomal RNA
Rfam family: 5.8S ribosomal RNA (bases 1-52)
Source: RNAcentral
AACGCACCUUGCGCCUCUUGGUAUUCCGAGAGGCAUGCCUGUUUGAGUGUCAUGAAACCUCAAUCCCUCGGGUUUUCCGACCUGCGGUGAUUGGACUUGGGCGUCUGCCAGUUCACUGGCUCGCCUCAAAUGUAUCAGUGGAUCUCUUUGACCCAUGCCUGACGUGAUAAGUUUCGUCUCGGCCGGUCUCUGGGGCUGCUCACAACCCACCAUACACUUUUGACAUUGACCUCAAAUCAGGUAGGGCUACCCGCUGAACUUAA